RNAcentral lists this ribosomal RNA (1028 nucleotides) under Kaseifertia cubense. Its description in RNAcentral is "SSU rRNA". It matches the Rfam family "Eukaryotic small subunit ribosomal RNA", at positions 68 to 1107 of the family's 1831-position model. Lineage: Eukaryota; Fungi; Ascomycota; Dothideomycetes; Pleosporales. The record is from RNAcentral.
AGCAUUAUACCGUGAAACUGCGAAUGGCUCAUUAAAUCAGUUAUCGUUUAUUUGAUAGUACCUUACUACUUGGAUAACCGUGGUAAUUCUAGAGCUAAUACAUGCUAAAAACCCUGACUUCGGAAGGGGUGUAUUUAUUAGAUAAAAAACCAAUGCCCUUCGGGGCUCUUUGGUGAUUCAUGAUAACUUCUCAGAUCGCAUGGCCUUGCGCCGGCGACGGUUCAUUCAAAUUUCUGCCCUAUCAACUUUCGAUGGUAAGGUAUUGGCUUACCAUGGUUUCAACGGGUAACGGGGAAUUAGGGUUCGAUUCCGGAGAGGGAGCCUGAGAAACGGCUACCACAUCCAAGGAAGGCAGCAGGCGCGCAAAUUACCCAAUCCCGACACGGGGAGGUAGUGACAAUAAAUACUGAUACAGGGCUCUUUUGGGUCUUGUAAUUGGAAUGAGUACAAUUUAAACCUCUUAACGAGGAACAAUUGGAGGGCAAGUCUGGUGCCAGCAGCCGCGGUAAUUCCAGCUCCAAUAGCGUAUAUUAAAGUUGUUGCAGUUAAAAAGCUCGUAGUUGAACCUUGGGCCUGGCUGGCAGGUCCGCCUCACCGCGUGUACUUGACCGGCCGGGCCUUCUCUUCUGGAGAACCUCAUGCCCUUCACUGGGUGUGCUGGGGACCAGGACUUUUACUUUGAAAAAAUUAGAGUGUUCAAAGCAGGCCUUUGCUCGAAUACGUUAGCAUGGAAUAAUAGAAUAGGACGUGCGGUCCUAUUUUGUUGGUUUCUAGGACCGCCGUAAUGAUUAAUAGGGACAGUCGGGGGCAUCAGUAUUCAAUUGUCAGAGGUGAAAUUCUUGGAUUUAUUGAAGACUAACUACUGCGAAAGCAUUUGCCAAGGAUGUUUUCAUUAAUCAGUGAACGAAAGUUAGGGGAUCGAAGACGAUCAGAUACCGUCGUAGUCUUAACCAUAAACUAUGCCGACUAGGGAUCGGGCGAUGUUUCAAUAUUGACUCGCUCGGCACCUUACGAGAAAUCAAAGUGUU